GAUGAAGAACGUAGCGAAAUGCGAUAAGUAAUGCGAAUUGCAGAAUUUCCGUGAGUCAUCGAAUCUUUGAACGCACAUUGCGCCCAUUGGUAUUCCGAUGGGCAUGCCUGUUCGAGCGUCAUUUCAACCCUCAAGCCCCCGGGCUUGGUGUUGGGGAUCGGCGUGCCCUCGCGGCGCGCCGUCCCCUAAAUCUAGUGGCGGUCUCGCUGUAGCUUCCUCUGCGUAGUAGCAACACUCGCACUGGAUCGCAGCGCGGCCACGCCGUUAAACCCCCCACUUCUGAAAGUUUGACCUCGGAUCAGGUAGGAAUACCCGCUGAACUUAAGCAUAUCAAUAAGCGGAGGA
RNAcentral lists this unclassified non-coding RNA (345 nucleotides) under soil metagenome. RNAcentral describes it as "partial contains 5.8S ribosomal RNA, internal transcribed spacer 2, and large subunit ribosomal RNA". The stretch from base 1 to 121 matches the Rfam family "5.8S ribosomal RNA", at positions 35 to 154 of the family's 154-position model. The record is from RNAcentral.